GCAGUCGAGCGCCUCCAAGCUAUGGUGAAGGCGCGGCAAACGGCUCAGUAACACGUGGCCAACCUACCCUUGGGACGGAGACAACCCCGGGAAACUGGGGCUAAUCCCCGAUAAGUAAGGAAUCCUGGAAUGGAUCUUUGCUGAAAGGGCGUCUAGACCAUGCUUCUUGACGUCGCCCAAGGAUGGAGCCGCGACCGGUCAGGUAGUUGGCGAGGCAACGGCUCACCAAGCCUAUAACCGGUACGGGCCGUGAGAGCGGGAGCCCGGAGAUGGGCACUGAGACAAGGGCCCAGGCCCUACGGGGCGCAGCAGUUGCGAAAACUCCGCAAUGCGCGAAAGCGUGACGGGGCUACCCCGAGUGCCGCCCGUUGAGGGCGGCUUUUCCAUGGUGUAAGGAGCCGUGGGAAUAAGGAGAGGGCAAGACUGGUGUCAGCCGCCGCGGUAAUACCAGCUCUCCGAGUGGUGGGGACGAUUAUUGGGCUUAAAGCGUUCGUAGCCGGCUUAACAAGUCUUCCGUUAAAUCCAACGAUCUAAUCGUUGGGCUGCGGGAGAUACUGUUGGGCUAGGAGGCGGGAGAAGCCGACGGUAUUCUCGGGGUAGGGGUGAAAUCCUGUAAUCCCGGGAGGACCACCAGUGGCGAAGGCGGUCGGCUAGAACGCGCUCGACGGUGAGGGACGAAAGCUGGGGGAGCGAACCGGAUUAGAAACCCGGGUAGUCCCAGCUGUAAACGAUGCGGGCUAGGUGUUG
Molecule: ribosomal RNA, 747 nt
Filed under: uncultured archaeon
Lineage: Archaea
Description: bacterial SSU rRNA
Rfam family: Archaeal small subunit ribosomal RNA
Source: RNAcentral